Suricata suricatta (meerkat) is the source of this 3677-nucleotide long non-coding RNA. RefSeq lists it as uncharacterized. The transcript has 2 exons. Lineage: Eukaryota; Metazoa; Chordata; Mammalia; Carnivora; Herpestidae. The record is from RefSeq and is a predicted model, not a curated record.
UACAAUAGGUUGUGUGGUGCAGGCAUGCUCCUGCAUCUGGAGCGCUGAGCAGCAGUAGAUAAGGCACGCAUUUUCCAUCGUGCCAGAGUCCGCACCACUCCCUAAUGUCUGCCAUGUCUCACUAUUGUUGUUUUUGCCAGGCGCUCUGAGCAUUCAAGUGUGCAGGUCCUGCCAUUGCCAUGAUUUUGGAACAUUUCCCUCAGCGCCAUCUGAUUGGAUCCUUAGUUAAGCUGCCUUCACGGAGAACUCUAGCCGGUGCCAGAGGAGAUGAGAUGCUGUCUUUCCACCUCAACGUAAGCCACCUGAGAGCCAGAGCUUUGCGUCACAUUACAGGUCCUCAAGCCCUGCAGAGCGCCUGGUGUGGGCUCACCGAGUACAGUGGGCUGAGUCCUUCCUAGGGGUGACUCUCCACCAGCCCGAGCACAUUGGCCAACUUGAAGGCUCGGCCCUGAAUGAUGAGGACAGAUGUAAACCGAAGCCAGGCAGGAGAUGCCUCUCGCAUCUCCGGGCAGAGAGGAAGAUCGGAGGCUUCAUAUGUUUCCCUAAGCAAGGUCUGCCUACCCUGGAGGACCCUUUCACUCUCCGGCAGGCCAGGCACAUAUUCUACUAGUAGUUCCCAAGACAGACUGCAUGCCCUUUUGAAAAAAGCCCUAGAUGAUUGGUUCUAAAACUCACUGCCUGGCCAGAGCUGAUCAGUGGCCCUGCAGAGUAGCUGGAUUCUGUGGCCUCAGUCAGGCCAGGGAGCUUCUGGGGGAUGAGCUGAAAGCCAGCAGGUACUGCCCUCCCAGGGGCCCAGAAUGCCCCCUGCGCAGCCUCACAUAGCCCGGCUGUGCCUGGCACGUUGCUGACCUUCGGAAAGGUACAUUUCGUCUUGGCCACAGCAGUUCUGGUGUUCCAUCCUUGCCCUAGAGUCCACUGCUGAUGGCUUUUGCAGUGGAAAAGCAGGCAGCUGACACCAGCCUGAGCUCCUGGUGUCUCUGUAAAAUGAGUGGGGACAGUUGGGUGAGUCCCAUGCUUCAUCCAUCGAAGUUCCACCUUUGAGAGUGAGGAUUAGCAGAUGGUCUGACAUGACUUAAUGGUGAGUGGUCAAUGUCAAGGAGAGCCAAGUUUCAUUUAUUUGUCCAAAUACAGGCAUGAUCAAGAAUAAGGUCAUGAUUUACAGCACUGAUUAUAGAAAUUCCUCUGAUCAUUUGAUUAGGUUACUGGAAUUUGAAUGUCUAUGAAGCUUUACUUUCAGAGUUCCCUCCUGUCUCCUCCCAGUGUGCCCAGACCACAAUGACAAGAGUGCCCCAGAUUCCUGAAAUCACACCCAAACACGCAUACCUCUGUACAUGAUGGUUUGUUCACCUUAAGAAUCUAGAACACAGUACUGACAGAGAUACGAGAACGUAGUUUGAGAUGGGAUAGAGAUUUCUGCCUGGUUGUUCUGGACCACUGAUCUGAAACAAUUCUCGUGUUAUCUAAGAGUUUCCGUAAUUGUAGCAAUGAUCUCGGAAAGACCUUUGUCCACAUUGAUCUGGAUGAAAUUUUCUGGAGCUGAUGGGGGCUCCAGAGUAUCAAACUGGGACUGCAGUAACUCAGGGGGCAUAAAAUGUCCUUUUCUCUUGAGUAAGCGUCCAGAGAUGACCUCAAACGACCCACUCAGGUAGACCACAAGGAGCUUCACUUCAGGUGGCUGUUUGUCCUUCCCCAUCCAAUCACACUUCAGAGGCGUGCCAUCCUUUCCUCGCAUUAAGAUGUCUCUGUACAUUUUCUUCAGAGCUGAACAGGCCAGAACCACAUGCUGUCCAGAGGCUACAUCUCUGUUAAAAGGGGGAGGGGAGGAACUAAAGAAUGAAGACAUUUAAAAUAACUGGUGUCAAUUCUAGGUUGAGGACUCUGGUCCUAACUUCUCUGGCCAGUGAGAGGCAUUACAAAAUGGUGGUCAAGCAUCAGGCAGUCCUGGCUUUGAGGUAAAGAUCUUCCAGUAGUGAAAUGAGCCGGCUUGGGCAGGUGAUUUACCUCCCCGAGUGUCAGUUCAUCAUCUGUUAAACGAGGCUGCUUAGAGGGCCUGUCCAUACAAGUGUAGGGAGGAACAGUUUAUCAAGGUGGCCAGUACACAGGGAGUGCUUGGUAGGCGUCAGUAUAGGACGUGACCCAGCCAAAGCCUGUGGACAUGGUGGCUGCCGGUGGGUACCUGUACCCCACACACCUCGGUUCUCCACAGGUGUUGAGUGGUUUGAAUUUCACAACCAGCUCCUUCCCAUCCCUACUCUACAAUGUGCUGGAAGAGUCUGGUCAAGUUACCAGUGCAGAGCUGGAGAAAGGAGAAAAGGGAGUAUCAGACUCUGGGUGGUCAAGGUGAGCAGGAUAUGAGAAGCUUCCAGAGAUGUGCCAAGAAAAAAACCUGAGCCAGAAAUAGAGGCAGAGUGACAAGCACCAAAAAGGGAAGACCAGCAUGCCUGGAGACUGGCACUCCCACCCAGCUGCGGUGGGCCCGUCCGUGGUCAGGAGAGGCAGUCAUCCUGGGGCUGGGAAGGGAGGCCAGGAAAGAGGUGAAGGGUAAGCCCUGGCUCGGAUCCUUAGAAGGUUUGCUUCCGAACUGAGAGUUCUGGAGAGGUCUGCCCUUGCUCUGUGGCCAUGACACCUGAGACCCAGCGGGGGGAGCGUAUCAUCAGCAACCGACUUCUAUGAACUCACACCUGAGGCUUCUGGCUCUUCCACUCACAAGCCAUGGGCAAGAGCUUGUUUAUUCUGAGUCUGCAUGUCUGAUACCUGCUCUCCUGAGGAUCUUCAUUUCUGCCUCCAUCACAGGUCAGUGUGUUCGAUCUCUGACGAGUCUGUGUGUGUUAGAGACCCAAGUGGUGGGGGUUCUCAAGCUCCGAAACCCUAAGCCCCUGGACUGUAAGCCCAUGCAAAGACAGGGCUGCCAGCCACGUCAGUGUGGUGUGUGUGAGAAGAGUAAACUGAACUUUUCAUCUUCCAUACUUUCUAAUUGCCUAUGGUGCGGAUGGUUCUAGAUUUGUAAAAAAUUAAAUUUCAACUUCAUUUUAGAAAGCAAGAGUUGUAAGCCAUCCCCUGCCUUUUCUCUUUCUCCACAUCUCAACCAGGAUUCCCGGGGACAGGUCCACAGAUGGGUGGAGGGGACCUCCUUGGCUCUGAAGCCUGAUGUAGAGCAGGACAAUUUAAGACUCCAGGUCUGGUGACCCAGUUAUCUGUUGACUUUCAAAUGACCCUGGGUCUUCCCUGCUUAGCACAGCUUGAAAUGGGGGGAAGAAAACGUGGUGAUGUGGCUGUAAGUGCCACCCAUGCCUCAUCUUACUAAUUCUUACACAAUCUGAGUAGGAACCAUAUUUGUCCCCAUUUUCAAAUGAAGAAGUAGGCUUGUGGAGGCCAAGUGGCUGACCAAGACUCCCAGAUAAUAAUUGUGGAACUGUCUAGAAGGUUUGUCUCAAGAACCCAACUGAAUUCCCUGUCUGUGGCUGAUUAAAAUCAUCGUUGGUUACUUAACGGAAGUGCCCUCCAUUACUGGGAUCCUUUAUCAUCAGUGAGUCAUGAUUUCCAGAGUGUAUUUUUCCCCCUCUACUCUCUGAUGAAUUUUCUUUUAAGGCCUGAUGCUCUCUUACCUUAGUAAAAUGUCAUGUAAGUUGCAGAGCCACGGAAUCCUGUCCUGAAAUUAAAGAUAUCAAGUGACUUUU